CGUUAUUGUAGUUAUUUAUUUAGUAUAAGGUUUUUUUCCCUCCUGCGUGGAGAACAAAACAAUAGAAUUACAUUACGUAAACGAGUAGAAUAAUAACAAAGAUAAAUGGAAUGAGUAAAAAAUCUGUACGUACUCAUUAAUUAAAAAAACAGCAACAACAAUGAACUUUACCUACAAUGAUAUUUAAACCAAAAAACACGCAAAACGAUGCGGCUGUUUUCAAGUUUUACCGAUCGUAACUCGCUAUAUAAACUCCCAAUAUUGUUGUGAGAAUCGGAAUAAUUUCUACAAUGAAGUUGCUGCUUGUCGUCUUUCUGCUUUUCAUUACUGAACGAUGGUCGGUAGUAUCGAGUCGUACGUUGUAUGCCCAUGCUGUUAAAGCGGCUUCACCCAUAAAGACGUGUACGUCUGCUCAGGUGAAUGGUGUGUGCCACGAAGAAUGCGUCAAACGAUAUUGGAAUUUCUGUACAAAAGUGACUCCCAUCUGUCGCUGUCCAUAAUAAGGAGUAGCGGUUGUCGGAAUCUUGUGCAUUCGUAUCCUUGUGAAGAAUAACACAAAUCUACGAGUGUAAUGAUUUAAUAUCAUUGUCAAUUUCCGCAGUAAAAUUACAUUCUACGUUUAACAGAAAAAUUGUAUGAUGUUCUAUUGUAUGUAGCUCUCGGGGAAUGUUCGUGGGAACGUCCGGACAUUAAUAGUUCUCUGUCUGGCAAUUCUACUAUUACAACUAACAACUAUUUGCUAUUGUACAAAAAUAAAAAAAAAACUAACAGAAUAUUUAAAUACUGUAUAAUAUGACAGUAAUUUCAAAAUAAAAAAUAAAAUUAUUAAUUCA
Molecule: long non-coding RNA, 833 nt
Organism: Centruroides sculpturatus (bark scorpion)
Lineage: Eukaryota; Metazoa; Arthropoda; Arachnida; Scorpiones; Buthidae
Exons: 2
Source: RefSeq, a predicted model, not a curated record